UUUUUAAUUUCAGUCACUCCUGGCUGUGAAUUUAUCUGUGGCAACUAUUUACUGGUUGAAAAUGGGAAGCAAUAAUAUUCAUCUGACCAGUUUUCUCUUAAAGCCAUUUCCAUGAUGAUGAUGAUGGGACUCAAUUAUAUUUUUUAUUUCAGUCACUCCUGAUAAAUAACAAAUUUGGAGAACUAAAAAUAUCU
Sapajus apella (tufted capuchin) is the source of this 194-nucleotide long non-coding RNA. RefSeq lists it as uncharacterized. The transcript has 3 exons. The record is from RefSeq and is a predicted model, not a curated record. Lineage: Eukaryota; Metazoa; Chordata; Mammalia; Primates; Cebidae.